CCUACGGGAGGCAGCAGUGAGGAAUAUUGGUCAAUGGACGAGCGUCUGAACCAGCCAAGUAGCGUGAAGGAUGACUGCCCUAUGGGUUGUAAACUUCUUUUAUAUGGGAAUAAAAUGUUCCACGUGUGGGAUUUUGUAUGUACCAUAUGAAUAAGGAUCGGCUAACUCCGUGCCAGCAGCCGCGGUAAUACGGAGGAUCCGAGCGUUAUCCGGAUUUAUUGGGUUUAAAGGGAGCGUAGGUGGAUUGUUAAGUCAGUUGUGAAAGUUUGCGGCUCAACCGUAAAAUUGCAGUUGAAACUGGCAGUCUUGAGUACAGUAGAGGUGGGCGGAAUGCGUGGUGUAGCGGUGAAAUGCUUAGAUAUCACGAAGAACUCCGAUUGCGAAGGCAGUUCACUGGACUGCAACUGACACUGAGGCUCGAAAGUGUGGGUAUCAAACAGGAUUAGAUACCCUUGUAGUC
RNAcentral lists this ribosomal RNA (460 nucleotides) under uncultured bacterium. RNAcentral's name for it is "partial 16S ribosomal RNA". It matches the Rfam family "Bacterial small subunit ribosomal RNA", at positions 338 to 795 of the family's 1533-position model. The record is from RNAcentral.